CAUAGACUGUCCCCCACUAAAUAUGAAUAAGCUCCACUCUUCAUCUCUUGUCAAAAUCACAGCUGUUUGAAUUGGUAAACAACAAUUGAACAAAGUCAAAAAUAAAAUAUAGUUUUAAUGUCCUAAAAUAUUGAGAAAAAAAUUAUUACAAAUGGCUAGAAAAAAUUAAUUGUGUCAGGUGCGUUUUCUAUGGGACAGUAGGCAACUGCCAACAAACAAAUAUUUAUUUAAGGCCUAUGUUUUAAAAUAUUUAGUAAAUAUUGUACAUGUGUAUUCUAUACUUACAGGUAUUUGCUAGUAAUAAGCAGAUGGUACUCCAUUAUACUGCACUGAUAGCUUCUCAAAGAUUAAAAAAUUAAUAUGAUACAUGCAAACAGGCACAGUUAAAAUGUCAAUCAUCACAAGAUCAAACUUCAGUACCAGAUUAACCCUAAAUCAAAUAUCAUCCUGAUUUAUCAAAAGACUACAUAGAACAGUCUAGAGGUGGAAACUGAUAGAUCAUUUGAAGAGGAUGCUGUAAAGCAGUCAUAAAUAUGUUUCACAAAACAAUGAACACCUUGUUACAGCAUAUCUUGAACAG
Molecule: long non-coding RNA, 580 nt
Organism: Saccostrea cuccullata (small rock oyster)
Lineage: Eukaryota; Metazoa; Mollusca; Bivalvia; Ostreida; Ostreidae
Exons: 3
Source: RefSeq, a predicted model, not a curated record